This 57-nucleotide transfer RNA is filed under the name Taenia asiatica. It matches the Rfam family "tRNA", at positions 17 to 71 of the family's 71-position model. Rfam says of the family: Transfer RNA (tRNA) molecules are approximately 80 nucleotides in length. Their secondary structure includes four short double-helical elements and three loops (D, anti-codon, and T loops). The record is from Rfam by way of RNAcentral. Lineage: Eukaryota; Metazoa; Platyhelminthes; Cestoda; Cyclophyllidea; Taeniidae.
GGAUAGGGCGUCUGACUACGGAUCAGAAGACUACGGGUUCGAAUCCCGUCGGACUCG